UGGCUUUUUGAAUUAAUUAUAAAGUCUGACCUGCCCACUGAAUAUUUGAAGGGCCGCGGUAUUUUGACCGUGCAAAGGUAGCAUAAUCAUUAGUCUUUUAAUUGAAGGCUGGAAUGAAGGGUUGAAUGAAGUAUAAGCUGUCUCUUAUAACUUUACAUAAAAAUUAAUUUUACAGUUAAAAAGCUGUAAUUCUUUUAAAAGACGAGAAGACCCUAUAGAGUUUUAUAUAAUUAAGUGAAAUUUUUAGUAGAGUUAUAAAUUUACUAACAUUAUAUUUUAUUGGGGUGAUAAGGAAAUAAAUUAACUUUCUUAAUAAAACAUAAAUUUAUGGUUGUAGGAUCCAAUAAUAUUGAUUAAAAGAAUAAGUUACCUUAGGGAUAACAGCAUAAUCUUCUUUAAGAGUUCAAAUCGAUAAGAGGGGUUGUGACCUCGAUGUUGGACUAAGGGUAAAUAUAGGUGUAGAAGUUUAUAUUUAAGGUCUGUUCGACCAUUAAAACCUUACAUGAUCUGAGUUCAAACCGGAG
Molecule: ribosomal RNA, 524 nt
Filed under: Adenophlebia peringueyella
Lineage: Eukaryota; Metazoa; Arthropoda; Insecta; Ephemeroptera; Leptophlebiidae
Description: partial 16S ribosomal RNA
Rfam family: Bacterial large subunit ribosomal RNA
Source: RNAcentral